Molecule: ribosomal RNA, 484 nt
Filed under: uncultured bacterium
Lineage: Bacteria
Description: partial 16S ribosomal RNA
Rfam family: Bacterial small subunit ribosomal RNA
Source: RNAcentral
AUUGAACGCUGGCGGCAUGCUUUACACAUGCAAGUCGAACGGCAGCACGGGCUUCGGCCUGGUGGCGAGUGGCGAACGGGUGAGUAAUAUAUCGGAACGUACCCAGAAGUGGGGGAUAACGUAGCGAAAGUUACGCUAAUACCGCAUACGAUCUAUGGAUGAAAGCAGGGGACCGCAAGGCCUUGUGCUCCUGGAGCGGCCGAUAUCUGAUUAGCUAGUUGGUGAGGUAAAGACUCACCAAGGCGACGAUCAGUAGCUGGUCUGAGAGGACGACCAGCCACACUGGAACUGAGACACGGUCCAGACUCCUACGGGAGGCAGCAGUGGGGAAUUUUGGACAAUGGGCGCAAGCCUGAUCCAGCAAUGCCGCGUGAGUGAAGAAGGCCUUCGGGUUGUAAAGCUCUUUUGUCAGGGAAGAAACGGUAGAGGCUAAUAUCCUUUGCUAAUGACGGUACCUGAAGAAUAAGCACCGGCUAACUACGUG